This 253-nucleotide ribosomal RNA is filed under the name uncultured bacterium. RNAcentral's name for it is "partial 16S ribosomal RNA". It matches the Rfam family "Bacterial small subunit ribosomal RNA", at positions 524 to 776 of the family's 1533-position model. The record is from RNAcentral.
GACAGAGGAGGCAAGCGUUGUUCGGAAUCACUGGGCUUAAAGCGGGUGUAGGCGGCCCGGAAAGUGUCGUGUGAAAUCCCACAGCUCAACUGUGGAACUGCAUGGCAAACUUCCGGGCUUGAGGUCGGUAGGGGUGCCUGGAACUCUUGGUGGAGCGGUGAAAUGCGUAGAUAUCAAGAGGAACGCCAGAAGCGAAAGCGGGGCACUGGGCCGAUUCUGACGCUGAGACCCGAAAGCGUGGGGAGCAAACAGG